UAAGAGUUGUCAGAUGCAAGCAACUGUAAAACAGGCUUCACAUGAUAACAAAGGCAAAAGGUAUAAUUUUAUUUCAUGAUUUCGUAUUUUUAUUAUGUGAUGAACCUUACCCGACCCGAACCCUCGAGCUCGAGCUCAAAUAUGUAGCCCGGCUCGUUUACAACCCCAAGUCAUGUGAUGCUAUUUAGCAAUUUAUAGUUUUUUUAAAACUUGAAUACAGAGUCUUAUUUGACACUUUAGCAGACUUUAACUGUAUAAGUCCGAUGAUGUCAUAAGUGUGUGGGGAUUUGGCAUUUGAUAUAGCUGAGCAUCACACAGAAGCUGGCUUGUAGCAUCUGAUUGUAGUUGUGUGGUAUUUGUUUGUAUUUAUAGAAAAGAAAAGAAAAGGUUGCUCAAGUGUGCUUGAAUUAGUGUUCCUGAACUUUACGAUAUCACGUUAUUACUUUCAAAAAGACAUAG
Molecule: long non-coding RNA, 459 nt
Filed under: Helianthus annuus (common sunflower)
Lineage: Eukaryota; Viridiplantae; Streptophyta; Magnoliopsida; Asterales; Asteraceae
Source: RNAcentral